RNAcentral lists this long non-coding RNA (6285 nucleotides) under Mus musculus (house mouse). Its description in RNAcentral is "lincGET1". The record is from RNAcentral. Lineage: Eukaryota; Metazoa; Chordata; Mammalia; Rodentia; Muridae.
UCAGCUCAAAAAGCAGAACUAAUCACACUAAUUCAAGCCUUAAGGCUGGCAGAAGGAAGGGCUCUUAAUGUCUAUACCGACAGCCAUAUGCUUUUGCCAUGGCUCAUGUUCAGGGAGCAAUAUACCGACACCAUGGACUGCUGACGUCUGCCGGCAAAGAUAUCAAAAAUAAAGAAGAAAUUCUCAGCUUAUUAGAAGCUGUCCAUCUGCCCCGUAGGGUGGCAAUUAUCCAUUGCCCAGGACACCAGAAGGGAACUGGGCCCGUUGAAAAGGGAAAUCAAAUGGCAGACCAAGAAGCCAAUAAAGCAGCCCAAGGGCCAAUGACUCUGGUGGUGGGAACCCAACAGCCCGCCGCUGAGGAAAUCAAUAAAAGAACUGCCGUGCUUGUGCACUUACCAACACUGGGUCUAGCAGGCUCCAGAAAGGAAAACAACUGCGGGGAGUCAGACCUGGAGCCUACUGGGAAACCGACUUCACUGAGGUGAAACCGGCUAGGUAUGGAAAUAAAUAUCUCCUAGUUUUUAUAGACACCUUCUCAGGAUGGGUCGAAGCGUUCCCCACCAAGAAAGAAACGGCUAAUGUAGUGGUCAAGAAGAUACUUGAAGAAAUCCUUCCCCGCUUUGGGAUACCUAAGGUAAUGGGGUCAGACAACGGACCUGCCUUUGUCUCCCAGGUGCCGCACUAGUUUGAAGUAGGAGAUGCAGUCCUGGUGAGGAGACACCGAGCAGGGAACCUAGAGCAGAGGUGGAAGGGACCCUACUUGGUGCUACUGACAAUGCCCACCGCGGUCAAAGUGGAAGGAAUCCCCACUUGGGUCCACGCAUCCCAUGUCAAGAGAGCACCCCCUGGAGUCAGCCAUGAUGAGUGGACUUUGGAGAAGACUACUAACCCUUUUAAGUUGUGCCUGCUUCGUAGGAGCGAUCCCAAAGGACUUCAACCCCCACAGUCCUUCCUGUUCAACAAAUGUGGGGGGUACUCAAUGAGGGGGGUAGGGCUGUAUGGACAAUCGCCGAGGUACACCCUCUGUGGACUUGGUGGCCUGAUCUUUUCUCUGACAUCUGUAAGUUGGCUAUAGGAGCCCCUCCUGGAUGGGACUUGGAGGGGUACUCUGACAUUCAGAGGGCACCUUUAACACCCCCUCCAUACGUAGAAAAACAUUCGAGAGACCCAUGGGGUGGUUGCUCUAACCAAAGGGAUAGAAGCAUGCUUCGAACCCAUCCCUUCUAUGUCUGCCCCGGGCCCCACCGAAGUAAGUCCCUCAAUCCAACAAGGCUGACUUCUUUUGCAAGAGCUAGGGUUGCGAGACUUCAGGUACAGCCCGCUGGAAGCCCUCCUCGAGCUGGGACUAUAUUAGAGUAACAGCCAACUAUUCCCUAGCGUCUUAUAUAACUGGAGGAUUUGACCUAGACGAGUGUACUCACUGGUGCCAUCCGCUCUGUGUCACCUUCACUGAACCAGGGAAAAGAGCUCUGGGAUGGACAAAAGGGUAUACCUGAGGUCUUAGGAUUUACAAGGAAAGAUAUGAUGAGGAUGAUUGUUCACUAUCAGAUUAAAAAUAGAGACCCCCUACAAUCCUUUAGGCCCCCCCAACCAAGUCCACACCCCUCACCCAUACUAUUGCUCAGCCUACUCUGGUGAUUGCAGACCCCCUUAAUAUGGCCGCUAUCACCCAACCAACCUCCCACUCCUCAGGUACCUCUAACUAUUACCCCCGCAAUUCCUUCAAGACAGAGGAUGUUUAACCUAGUGAGAGGAGCCUUUUAUGCCCUUAACAGAACUGAUCCAAGCGCUACUGAGGACUGCUGGCUAUGCCUGUCCUCGGGUCCGCCUUAUUAUGAAGGAAUCGCCUUCAAUGGCGAUUUCAACAGAACCAGCAGCCAUACUUCCUGCUCUUGGGGAACAGGACAAAAACUGACCCUGACUGAAGUAUCUGCAAGGAGUCCAGGUCUCUGUAUAGGCACCCCACCUUCCACCCACAAACACCUAUGCGGAUAAAUUCAGUCCGUGUCCAGGAUGGAAGCUAAUUACUAUCUUGUACCUUCCCCGGUUGGCUGGUGGGCUUGCAAUACAGGACUUACUCCCUGUGUAUCAACUAAGGUUUUUAAUUCAUCUCGUGAUUUUUGUGUCAUGAUCCAGCUGUUACCCCGCUUAUAUUAUCACCCUGCAUCCAGUUUAGAAGAAAGCUAUGCUGGCCGGCGGUCAAAAAGAGAACCAAUUACUUUGACCCUGGCUGCAUUCAUGGGAAUAGGUAUGGCAGUAGGAGUGGGGACAGGAGUGUCAGCUUUGAUAGAAGGAAGACAGGGAAUUUAGUCUUUGAGGAAUGCUGUCAAUGAAAACCUAGUGGCAAUAGAGAAGUCCAUUGACGCUUUAGAAAAAUCUUUGACCUCCCUGUCUGAGGUAGUUUUGCAGAACAGGAGAGGUCUUGAUUUGUUGUUCCUAAAGGAAGGAGGACUGUGUGCUGCCCUUAAAGAAGAAUGCUGCUUCUAUGCAGAUCAUACAGGAGUAGUUAGAAACUCUAUGCAGAAACUGAGAGAAAGAUUAGAGCGAAGGAAACAGGAACAGGAUGCUCAGUAGAGCAUGCUCAGUAGAGAUGAGGCUUGCUGAGAUUUAACACGGACACACUAGGUAGGCAGACAGGGAAGAAAAAAGGGUGGAAAUUGUCCUCUGGAUGCUUUGGAGUCAUGAUUUGGAGUUUGCUUGUGUUUUGUGUGUAUGUGCACACAUAGCCACUGAUUUAACAAGGAGUAUUUGUAGGGCUGGGCACACGCCUUUAAUCCCAGAACUUAGGAGGCAGAGGCAGGCAGAUUUCUGAGUUCGAGGCCAGCCUGGUCUACAAAGUGAGUUCCAGGACAGUCAAGGCUAUACAGAGAAACCCUGGUCUCGAAAAAAAAAAACAAAAACAAAACAAACAAACAAAAAUCCAAGGUGUAUUUGUUUAAGGAGACAUCUUAAUUAGGAUUUUAUUACUGUGAACAGACACCAAGACCAAUGCAAGUUUUAUAAAGGACAUUUAAUUGGGUGUUGGGGUCGGCCUGUGGCUCUCAUGUCCAGGUUCCAGCCUGGGAGGCAACCGGAGCUGAAAGAGAAGGGGGAACCUAGACGGGUCAAGAAAUAAUGGAAACCAAGACAAGCUAGUCUGUUCAAGGCUCAAAGGUUCAAUGAGGAUCGUGCUUAUAAAGAAGAGGGGGAGGCCCAUCCCCCACCAUGCCAAGUUUCUUGAUGUUGAGAUGCUAAGUUGUCAGCACAGCCUUUUAGCAGAAAGUCACCAAAUUUACAGGUUGCAGUUAACUCCGGAAAAUCUUGGCGAACUGGUUAGGCCUCAUGGCAGGUGGCAGGCGGUGUCACAUCAAAGGAAACUAGUUGAGUCUGAGAAGCAGCACUGCAGGUGGCCCAGCCUCAGUGCUGUAAGGUCUGAACCAGCCUGCCAAGGCUGAAGGAGGUUACAUUUUCCCCCCUGUAAAUAAUAUUUUUAAAAAACUGGACUGAGGCAUAAAAUUUAUUUAUGCUCUAUAGUCCUGCCUGGGAGGGGUGGCUGGCGGCUGCGCCUGUCUUAGGAAAUCUUAGAUCUUCCCGAACCAUCCAAUUCCGUCUUGGAGGCUACAUGCAGCUAGUUUGUGUUAUAUUUCACACAAACAUGGCUCUGUGGUGUGUUAUCAACAGCCACGGCCUUUUGGCAUGUACCUCUGUCUUAGAUUGGUAUGGUUCUGAGAUCUGGGUGCCCGUCAUUGACUGUCCGGCCCUCAUUAGCUCACCUUAUUCCCAAUUCAGACCAAAGCCACAAUAUGUACUUAGAAUGCUUCUUGAUUAAUAACUGCCACCUGCGCUGUUGGAGGCGGGGCUGUACACCUGCUGCAGUCAGGCUGAAGGGCAUUGACUGACCUGCUUGAAAAACAAAGGUGGGGCAGUGAAAAGCAACAGUAUAAAAGCUUCUUUGGAGAAGUCCAGGUACUUUAUUCAGUUGCAAAUUAACAACAACCAACCUAGACCUUGAGCUCUCAGUGUGGAGGAGCUGGCCUUGAGAAUCACAGAAAGGCUGCAAUCUUUCUGGGAGAGGAGGCUGUGCUCCAAAUUAACUUUGUUAGGUAAAUAAGAAUAUUUAGCUAUAUUCAAUAUGAAUCUCUAGCACUGGAAUUAUUAUUAGACCAGUCUAAGAUUGAGUUAGAAUAACUAGUCACAUGAGGGAAAGAGAAGAAUCACUAUAACUCUUUUUAUAUGACUAAUUUUUCUAAGUCAGAUUAAUUAGGAAUUAAUUAGGAAUUAAUUAGCAAGGAUGGGUCAAAAACAUGUACCCAAUUAAGCUUUCUUGUCACUACAGUCAGGGCACUGAGUGAACUCAUCUGUCAGCUCGUCACAUGAAUUAGCCGUCAUGCUUCUGCAGCAUUCUGUGAAGAGAACCUAUGCUUUUCCCCCUACCAAUAAGGUAGCUGUCCAGGAUCAGGCCAUAUGUCAAUAAGUAGAUCCUUUUAAGAUACUAUAAGGCAUUUAUUAAGUUCUUUGACAUCCAAAUUUCAAAAUUCUAAAAGUAUGAUUUAAAUAAUGUGCAUGGGGAUAUAAUUCCCCCUGUCUUAGUCAGGGUUUCUAUUCCUGCACAAACAUCAUGACCAAGAAGCAAGUUGGGGAGGAAAGGGUUUAUUCAGUUUACAAUUCCAUACUGCUGUUUAUCACCAAGGAAGUCAGGACUAGAACUCAAACAGGUCAGGAAGCAGGAGCUGAUGCAGAGGCCAUGGAGGGAUGUUCCUUACUGGUUUGCUUCAUUUUCAAUUGAUUCAAUUGAAAAUGCCUUACAAUUGGAUCUCAUGGAGGCAUUUCCUCAACUGAAGCUCCUUUCUCUGUGAUAACUCCAGCUGUGUCAAGUUGACACAAAACUAGCCAGUACACCCGCUUCUGUGUUUUCUAAGAAGCUAGAGUUUUAAAGUUCCACAAUACCUUGUCCUUGAGAAUUAAUAAUUUCUUGACAAAACACCUCAAACACUUGACUGUUAUAGUCAGUAUUAAUGUAACUUGGGCAGUGACUAAUUGCACUUUCAAUUGUUUCUCUUGAAGAGCAGUUGUAACUAGAAAGCUUGAAAAGUUAUUAAUAGUCACGUGUGUAUAAUUUAUUUAUUUAUUAAAUCAGAAAUAAGAGCAUUUAUUUGCAGCAAUUUAUUAAGUAUAAGUCCUCAAGAAUUAACACUAUUAUGUGGAAACAAGUAGGAACUGAGGACACUAAGAACAAAAAAUUUUUUACAAUUUGACAUGCACAUUUUCCAAGAAUACCAAUAUAUUAUCUUAAACCAUAACUGUUUUGAAUAUACAAAGAACGAGAUUAUAUAUCCAAUCCGUCUUAUAUGUAGGACCUAUAGACUUCCUGAGAUAUAAAUCCAGCAUGGCAUUGCCUUAAGAUGUCUUGUCCAGGCAAUCCAGAACAAUUUAUUAAAUGUCCAAAAACAGCCUUCUUAAAAGGACAGCAUUUUUUCUUAUGAGUUGUAUAUGCAUAAGCAAUUGCAAAUUUGAGAAUUAAUAGCAUCCGAGGGAUGAACAAUCUUAAGCAAUUGUGAGCUCUGAGAUAUAAUAUUGCCUAUUAAUAUACAAAUUAAGGUUUGAUUGUUCAGCGUUUUAAAACACCAUCCACAGCACACAACUUAAUUAUCUGUGCUGAAACAGGAGGAAACUCAAAAGAAUAAACGUGUGAUCUAAUUCACAUCUACUUAUUUCCCAUAGAGGGGUUGUUUUUAAACACAGUAACUGGGAUGCAUGCAGCAUGAAUUUAUAGAAGACACAGAAGCAUGUAUAAAAACAAUUUUUAACUUAUCUAUUAUUUAAAAUGAUGGUAUGCGAUAGAUCAAUUAUUAAUAUUCUGUAAUAACCAAAUUAAUUGCUGUUUGGAAGAAGGAACAGACACUUAGUCAGGUUCUUAAGACACAAUUUUUGUUAUGGUUAUCUCAAACUAAAUGAAUUUAUCUUACAAUUCUUUGUUAGCACCACAGUAGCCUUAAUAGGUGUUAAAACUUUACUUUGAGGUGAAGAAGGAUGAUUUUACAACAAUAUUUUCUCUUGCCAAGGAAUUGCUGUGGGCACCUAAAUAAAAUAAGCAGGUAAUACUUAAUUACCAAUGAUUAAUUGAUAACAAUUGAUCACAGAAGUUUCUUUUGCCUUCUGUAAAGCCUCUUUGCUUCUCACCAGUCAUCUUGAAUCUCACUAGAUAGCACCUAACAGAGGUUUAAGUUGCUUUAAGGCCUCAAGGUGAGGUCUCAGCCAAUUAACAUCUCCUGGAAGCUUUUGAAAAUAAAAUUUUGAAGCAAAUCA